AUGAGGUUGUGCCCAUGCAUCGAAGAUGCAUAUGGAAUGGCACAACCGACUUGCCGCCGAACGAAUGUGAGGGGGCGAUACCAACA
RNAcentral lists this small RNA (86 nucleotides) under unclassified sequences. Its description in RNAcentral is "GA-cis RNA". It matches the Rfam family "GA-cis RNA". The record is from Rfam by way of RNAcentral.